ACCUCGGGUGACAGGGAGACAGGUGGUGCGAUGGUUGUCGUCAGCUCGUGUCGUGAGAUGUUGGGUUAAGUCCCGCAACGAGCGCAACCCCUACGUUUAGUUGCUAACAGGUGAAGCUGAGCACUCUAGACGAACUGCCGCUGACAAAACGGAGGAAGGUGGGGAUGACGUCAAAUCAUCAUGCCCCUUAUGUUCUGGGCUACACACGUGCUACAAUGGCCGGUACAGACGGAGGCGAAGCCGCGAGGUGGAGCAAAUCCUAAAAAGCCGGUCUCAGUUCGGAUUGCAGGCUGCAAUUCGCCUGCAUGAAGUCGGAAUCGCUAGUAAUCGCAGGUCAGCAUACUGCGGUGAAUACGUUCCCGGGCCUU
This 368-nucleotide ribosomal RNA is filed under the name uncultured Pelotomaculum sp. RNAcentral's name for it is "bacterial SSU rRNA". It matches the Rfam family "Bacterial small subunit ribosomal RNA", at positions 1017 to 1382 of the family's 1533-position model. Lineage: Bacteria; Bacillati; Bacillota; Clostridia; Eubacteriales; Desulfotomaculaceae. The record is from RNAcentral.